Molecule: ribosomal RNA, 548 nt
Filed under: uncultured beta proteobacterium
Lineage: Bacteria; Pseudomonadati; Pseudomonadota; Betaproteobacteria
Description: bacterial SSU rRNA
Rfam family: Bacterial small subunit ribosomal RNA
Source: RNAcentral
UGGGGAAUUUUGGACAAUGGGCGCAAGCCUGAUCCAGCAAUGCCGCGUGCAGGAAGAAGGCCUUCGGGUUGUAAACUGCUUUUGUCAGGGAAGAAAUCCUGUGGGUUAAUACCUCGUGGGGAUGACGGUACCUGAAGAAUAAGCACCGGCUAACUACGUGCCAGCAGCCGCGGUAAUACGUAGGGUGCGAGCGUUAAUCGGAAUUACUGGGCGUAAAGCGUGCGCAGGCGGUUGUGCAAGACAGGUGUGAAAUCCCCGGGCUUAACCUGGGAACUGCACUUGUGACUGCACGGCUAGAGUACGGUAGAGGGGGAUGGAAUUCCGCGUGUAGCAGUGAAAUGCGUAGAUAUGCGGAGGAACACCGAUGGCGAAGGCAAUCCCCUGGACCUGUACUGACGCUCAUGCACGAAAGCGUGGGGAGCAAACAGGAUUAGAUACCCUGGUAGUCCACGCCCUAAACGAUGUCAACUGGUUGUUGGACGGCUUGCUGUUCAGUAACGAAGCUAACGCGUGAAGUUGACCGCCUGGGGAGUACGGCCGCAAGGUUG